UAAUUUGCAUCAAUCUUUCUUAAAAUUACGAGCUGUCUUCUUAUCGCAAACCUAACAAACUAAUCCGGAACCUAAAAUCACGAUACUUAUUCAAAUUACCCUUUAAACCACUCUUUUAGUCCCCCAAAGCGUAAACAAAACUUCUCCGAGUGACAUCCUACUAUUUCCUUCUCCUUAAAGCAAUUAAUUUCUGGGGAUUUUUUUGUUCCUCUAAGUGUGUGAAAAUAAGUGUUUCAUUCAGAUUUGAAAGGGGGAAAAAAAAGCGUGAAUUUCUAAAUCAAGACUUGAACUUCCUCCGGAGUGGUGUAAGUAAGGGAAGGGAUACCAAGGUGAGUGAUCUGGACGUACUGAUCCAAAUCGGUUGGUGAAAUUGGUAUAAAAGCAAAAAUCUGAUCCACUCCUCCCAUAUUAUCAUCAUCCAUCAGCAUUCAAGCAUUGCAUUGCUUCUUACAGCCACAAAAGAAAAAAAAUGGUUUCAGCACAGAAAUUGACAUGCCUUUUGGUAGUUCUGGUCAUUUUGGGCACCCUUUUCACUGUGCCACCUACAGAGGCUCACAAACAUCAUCAUGAAAACAACAUUGUGGAAAUGCUGGCAGCCGGUAUUGUCGCCAAGAUGUUGUCAGAACAUCAUAAACACCAUGGUUGUCAUCAUCAUCAUGGAUAAUGAAAUCAUCGUAUCAUCUGAAUGUAAUGAGGGAUCAUCAUUGUAUAAUUAUUUCACCUGCUGCAGUAUCAUUCAUCUGUAAAAUGCAUGCAUUAUUAAUGGAUUGUGGAAUGUAAAUUAUUUUUUUUAAAAUAAAGCUUUAUUUUAAAUUUUUUAAA
Parasteatoda tepidariorum (common house spider) is the source of this 822-nucleotide long non-coding RNA. The record is from RefSeq and is a predicted model, not a curated record. Lineage: Eukaryota; Metazoa; Arthropoda; Arachnida; Araneae; Theridiidae.